This 468-nucleotide ribosomal RNA is filed under the name uncultured bacterium. RNAcentral describes it as "partial 16S ribosomal RNA". It matches the Rfam family "Bacterial small subunit ribosomal RNA", at positions 28 to 507 of the family's 1533-position model. The record is from RNAcentral.
GACGAACGCUGGCGGCGUGCUUAACACAUGCAAGUCGAACGGAAAGGCCCUGCUUUUGUGGGGUGCUCGAGUGGCGAACGGGUGAGUAACACGUGAGUAUCCUGCCCUUGACUUUGGGAUAACUUCAGGAAACUGGGGCUAAUACCGGAUAGGAGCUCCUGCUGCAUGGUGGGGGUUGGAAAGUUUCGGCGGUUGGGGAUGGACUCGCGGCUUAUCAGCUUGUUGGUGGGGUAGUGGCUUACCAAGGCUUUGACGGGUAGCCGGCCUGAGAGGGUGACCGGCCACAUUGGGACUGAGAUACGGCCCAGACUCCUACGGGAGGCAGCAGUGGGGAAUAUUGCACAAUAGGCGGAAGCCUGAUGCAGCAACGCCGCGUGCGGGAUGACGGCCUUCGGGUUGUAAACCGCUUUCGCCUGUGACGAAGCGUGAGUGACGGUAAUGGGUAAAGAAGCACCGGCUAACUACGUG